GACGAGGGCCCCAAGCAUUAUCCGGAUUUAUUGGGCGUAAAGGGCGCGUAGGAAGACCGACGCGUCGUGUGUUAAAUCUCUCCGCCUAACGGGGAGGCCGCACACGAUACGGUCGGACUAGAGGGUGCUAGAGGUAAGCGGAACGCAUGGUGUAGGGGUGAAAUCCGUUGAUAUCAUGCGGAACACCGAAGGCGAAGGCAGCUUACUGGGGCAUACCUGACUCUGAGGCGAGAAAGCGUGGGGAGCAAAAAGG
Molecule: ribosomal RNA, 253 nt
Filed under: uncultured bacterium
Lineage: Bacteria
Description: partial 16S ribosomal RNA
Rfam family: Bacterial small subunit ribosomal RNA
Source: RNAcentral